ACCUCUGGAGUAACGUAAUGGCCCUGGGACUCAUCACCGUCGUCUUCAUGAUUCUCGGCUACGUCCAGCUGCGAAGGCUCAAGAAACUCAAGUAGAGAAAACGAGAGCAAGUAGAGAAAACGAGAGCAACUCAAGAAAAACUUAGCGAAAAAGAAAAAUGAGAAGCCGUUUGUGAAAUUAUUAUUGAGAUCUAUAAUGUGUGUGACUUGGAUUAGCUGAGGAAUUUUCUGACACAGUACAGAAGGCUCAAGGAAUUCAAGUAGAGAAAAUAAGAGCAACUCUAGAAAAACUUCAGAAAGAAAGAUGGAAGCUGUUUAUGUUAUAUGUAACAUUGAUCCGUUGGAUAUGAAGUGAAAUUUUCUGACAGAAUACAGACGGUGCCUAAGUAUUAUGAAGAAGUGUGGUGAAGGAAGAGAGAUAAUGGCGGGGGGGAAAGAAAGCAUUAAGACACAAGUAAUGUACUGUCCUGUGUUUGUCGGGUCAUUCAUAACAGUGGAUGUAUCUUCAAUGCUUUGGAAGAAAAAAACCCAGUAGCCUUUAAUAAGAUAGGAGCAGCAUUAGUUCUAAAGGGCUGGUGUGUAACGCGCUUAAUUAAGAAAAGUGCAAUUAAAAAAAUUUUUUUUUGAGAAUGUGGAUUAGAUACUGCAAUUUGGAUAAGUUUGUUUACAGAUUUUCUCCACAGAAAAUGUUCUCAUCUCUGGUCGUAAAGAGAGCACGCACUUAUGGACAACAAUUUUGGAGGAUUGGAUCAAAUUGUGUCAUAUUGGCAGCUUUUGUUUCUUUAUAAAGGAAAAAAUCUUGUGGCCUCCAAUUGUAUCAAAGGUAUCAAAUAAACAAUGGGUGCUGAGUAUAGGGACAAUUUGCUCGACAAAUUCACUUUUGAAAGGUUCAGUUUUGUGGACCAGUGUGUCUGUCCUGUGCCAUAGCCUUCAUUCCUUGAUAAUUAUAGCAAGUAUUGUCCAAGAAUUCACUUGCCACACUCAAUCAGGUAAUGGCAUACUGAUUGAUAUCUCUUUGUGCUCGGCUGGAUAUUUUCAGCUAUUUUUAAAGACGUCAGUAUUUAUUUUUUGCAUGAGAAAAGAAGUUGCUAAUGCAUGAUGUAUUUUUUACUUGUUUCAUUGUUUAAUUAUGUGCUUGGAUGGUGGAGCAGGAGCUUAUGGAACUUGGUCACCAAGCUCAUGAAGUGUCAUUGUCAAUUUUGGGUCACUUUAACACUUUGCAGUCACACAGCCAGUAGUACAAAAUACCCCCAUCUGGUCACACAGCCAGCAGAGUGACUGCAAUGGACUUCUCGGUCCUGGCCUGGUGCAGAACUGUGCUAGGUGACCGGAAUGGAUAAUUUUCACAGUCGCAUUAUUUCGCCAAGUGACCGCAAAGUGUUAAGCAUGCAGUCGAUAUUGUUCAAGACGGCCACCCAUUGUGGAGGAGUAAAGUGGUUGUCCUAGGCAGCUGGUGGUCUUACACAGUGCUAUUAUAAUGGGAAAAAAAAAACACACACACAAGGGAGUGCUUUAACACUUUACCAUCAUAUUUUGCGGAAAAUCCAAAGAAACUGGGAUGUAAAAAUCACGAGAUGAGGUGGCAAAGUGUUUAGACAACAUAUGUAUGUGUUGUUUCUAUUCCCUCUUUGAGAACGUAUCAGGCACAUAUAGUAUAACACGGAUAACUCGAAUUCGCCGGGACCGGCCCUGGGAGUAGUCGGAGAGAUUUGUAGUUCGAGGGAUAUCUUACAAAGAUAAAGAAGAAGAAAAAA
Aplysia californica (California sea hare) is the source of this 1753-nucleotide long non-coding RNA. RefSeq lists it as uncharacterized. Lineage: Eukaryota; Metazoa; Mollusca; Gastropoda; Aplysiida; Aplysiidae. The transcript is spliced from 2 exons. The record is from RefSeq and is a predicted model, not a curated record.